RNAcentral lists this transfer RNA (63 nucleotides) under Rattus norvegicus (Norway rat). It matches the Rfam family "tRNA". Rfam says of the family: Transfer RNA (tRNA) molecules are approximately 80 nucleotides in length. Their secondary structure includes four short double-helical elements and three loops (D, anti-codon, and T loops). The record is from Rfam by way of RNAcentral. Lineage: Eukaryota; Metazoa; Chordata; Mammalia; Rodentia; Muridae.
GGGGAUUUAGCUCAGCGGUAGAGCCCUUGCCUAGCAAGCGCAAGGCCCUAGGUUCAAUCCCCA